This 246-nucleotide unclassified non-coding RNA is filed under the name uncultured fungus. Its description in RNAcentral is "partial contains 5.8S ribosomal RNA, internal transcribed spacer 2, and large subunit ribosomal RNA". The stretch from base 1 to 52 matches the Rfam family "5.8S ribosomal RNA", at positions 103 to 154 of the family's 154-position model. Lineage: Eukaryota; Fungi. The record is from RNAcentral.
AACGCACAUUGCGCCCUCUGGUAUUCCGGGGGGCAUGCCUGUUCGAGCGUCAUGUCUAACUCAAGCUCUUUGCUUGGUGUUGGGUGCCGUCCCCCGGGACGCACCUGGAAAUCAGCGGCGAUGCGGCCGGCGACCAGGCGUAGUAAACCACUUCCGCUUAGGUUCCCCGGGCGCGUUCGCCGGACAACCCUCCAUUUUUUAACUAUGGUUGACCUCGGAUCAGGUAGGGAUACCCGCUGAACUUAA